UUUUUUUUUCGUUUUGGGCCUAAUACCCUAGAGUAAUAAACUGGGUGUUUCUUGCGGUUACAAUUCCUUUUUGUAUAGUCGCAACAGCAACACAGACGCAUCUACAUACGUACACACACGCACACAUAAGCGCCAUCGCACAUACCGCGCUUUGAAAGGCGCUCUAAAAACAAAACCCAAGAUGCUCAAGAUAGAUAGAUACACAGAUACAUA
This 213-nucleotide long non-coding RNA is filed under the name Volvox carteri. Its description in RNAcentral is "long non-coding RNA (VCAR_LNC001865)". The record is from RNAcentral. Lineage: Eukaryota; Viridiplantae; Chlorophyta; Chlorophyceae; Chlamydomonadales; Volvocaceae.